CUGUUUUACGAAUUCUCCACCUUGACUUCAUCCUCUGCUUUGAGCUCAGCCAUUAGAUUUCUGCAGACCUGUUGAGCAUCUUGAAGCUCAUAUCUCAGCCUCUGUGCUCGUCCAACAAAAUACUGCAUAUUUAAUAAGAAAAUAAUUAUAUGACGUUCUUCAUAAGGUAGACUUAUUUGCUUUAGUAGUACAUGUUUCUUUUAGCAUGAAUAUGUUGUUUAAGAGAGAGGCAGAUGAGCAUCUAAAAUUAGCCUACAGUGUUGAAAUGCCAAAGCAUGCAAGUUUGAAACUAAAGAAGAACGAUGUAAAGUUCAAUCCCGGUGAGUUCAAGGGAGAAGCAACAAUAAUUGGUUCUUAUAUUUGGAAGUUUUAGUUUUCCGUUAAUCUCCAAAUCUGGAUCCUAGAUAUGCAAUGCUAAAAUUGUCCUUAGCUUUAAGACAAACCUUAUGCAAAAGUAGUGUCUGCAAUUUCAUAUUCCACGCACCGGGGAGGAAAAGCAUAUACAACAAGGAGUUCCACAGGUUCAAGAAUGGUGGAGGAUUUUAAGAAAUUGACUUGAUGAUA
Molecule: long non-coding RNA, 564 nt
Filed under: Elaeis guineensis (African oil palm)
Lineage: Eukaryota; Viridiplantae; Streptophyta; Magnoliopsida; Arecales; Arecaceae
Description: long non-coding RNA (EGUI_LNC029121)
Source: RNAcentral